Molecule: ribosomal RNA, 253 nt
Filed under: uncultured bacterium
Lineage: Bacteria
Description: partial 16S ribosomal RNA
Rfam family: Bacterial small subunit ribosomal RNA
Source: RNAcentral
GACGAACCGAGCGAACGUUGUUCGGAAUCACUGGGCUUAAAGGGCGCGUAGGCGGGCUGCCGCGUCCGGGGUGAAAUCCUCCCGCUCAACGGGAGAACGGCCUCGGAUACGGGCGGCCUCGAGGGGGGUAGGGGCAUCUGGAACUGUGAGUGGAGCGGUGAAAUGCGUUGAUAUUCACAGGAACUCCGGUGGCGAAGGCGAGGUGCUGGACCCCAUCUGACGCUGAGGCGCGAAAGCCAGGGGAGCAAACGGG